CCCGCAGCUGACAGGUGAGGAACCUGGAUCCCAUAAGGGGAGGCUCACACGGGGUCGUGUCAGCCAGGUCCUGGGCUUGGAAGCCUGCGUUCUUGGAUGACGACCCCAUAAGGGAGGUACAAGUGUCUUCAGGCACCCUUGAAGAAUAGAGACUGCUCCGUCAAGCUGAGCGGCGAGCACCAGCAGGAGACUGUCACUGGGUAGAGGAGCCCGGCGACCUGUGCAGGCUGCUGCCUGUCUGGAGAGACGCCAGGUGGGAAAGGCUCGGGGGAGAGCAGGACUUUGUGAGCGGACCCAGCGCUGCCUGGGGCGAGGAAGCUCUGCUUGUAGGGGACAGCUGCUGUGCACACAACUUCUGCAGGGACAGGGAAGUGGCCCAGCCACCCUAAAUAACAAGAGCUACCACUUGUUCUGGGUCUUCCUUCACGUUUCCUCUCUCCCUCCUCCCAGCGAUUCUGGGUGGUCGUCCUGUGAUUAUUCCCCUCUCGAAGAUGAAGAGCUGAGCCUUAAGCAACCUGCCAGGAACACAUGGUCAGAAACCGGCAGAGCUGAGAUUCCAAUCCAGGUCGCUCCUGAGCCACAUUUCCUUGAGCCUUCCCAGAGCAUCACGCAGCCCUCGCGUAAGUCUGGUGGAGCGAGAAGGCCUUCAGGAUGGGCUGGCUCCCUCUGCUCCGGCUCGCAUCCGUGGGCAUCACCAGGAGGAAAUGGGUGCUUCCAGCGAAUUCCCAGCACCAGCCUUAAUGACAAGCCCGCACUCCCUGUAAUCGAACACACUGGCUUUCUGUUUGCCCAACCACCUCCUGUGCGUUUGGUUGGCAUGAGCUGGACCUUCAAAUAUUAACCAACUCUGGUGACCUGGAAACAACCAAACAACAAACAAACAAACAAAAACAGGUUCUACACCUGUCAAGCUAAGAGAGGCCUUGUUUUCACCAAGGUUCUGCCUCUGGGAGUGGGAGCGGUGGUGCGGCAGAAGCUACCGAAAGACCCAGUCCAGGCUGGGAAUGUGGAAUCAGAGCUCCUUGCUGUGUGUUCUGGGGCCGCUCUGGAAACAGUCUGAGUGCUCCUUGGCGGGAUGCCAUCCUGCAAGCUCUUCUCUCCUGUGGCUUCCAGAGGGGAGGACCGCAUCUCCAGCUCAGGCCAGGAGCUCCAGGGCCCCCAUCAAACCACCUGUCUGGGCAGGUUGGUUCCCAGGGCUCAGCAGGUGACGAGGCCAGGCUGUCUGUCUUGACUUGAACAAUGACACGCCUCUGGAUAAGACAUUGAUCUCGCUGAGUUUUGUGUUUUGUUUUGUUUUGUUUUGCCUUCUUGCCCAAGAGCCUGAGGGCUAUUUUGCAACCCCUUGGCUUCUUUCCUCUGGCCAGAGAAGCAAGGGAGACUGACUUCCUCAGUCCUGGGCCCAAGCUGACCAGGAGAGCGGGAAGGAGCAGAGGGCGGGGGAGAGUGGGUGGGGACGCUGCAGAGGUCAGGAGCUGGGCCACCCCCAGGGACUGACUCGCGGGGCUGCUCAAGUGGGUCCUCCCUAUUUUAGGACCUACGGACGACUCCUUUCUAGGCUGAACGAGGAGGCGAGUGGUUCUGGACUCUUUGGCAUCACCAGCGGCACCCUCCCCAAGUGUAGGAAGUGUCUGGCCUGGCCGCGGCCUGGAGCCCAGGACAGGAGCUGAUGGGAGAAGCCUCGUCCCAUGGCUGGGGACGAAGCAAUCCCCCAGACUUCUCUGCACUCAUGUAGUUCCACACACACACCCACAGAGGUAGUCAGACAGCGAGACAUAGUGACUGGCUUGAAAUAAACACAGUCAGCUAUUUCA
Non-coding RNA from Vicugna pacos (alpaca), 1811 nucleotides. The record is from RefSeq and is a predicted model, not a curated record. NCBI's taxonomy places the organism in Eukaryota, Metazoa, Chordata, Mammalia, Artiodactyla, Camelidae.